Molecule: ribosomal RNA, 360 nt
Filed under: uncultured eukaryote
Lineage: Eukaryota
Description: SSU rRNA
Rfam family: Eukaryotic small subunit ribosomal RNA
Source: RNAcentral
AGCGCCAAUCGUGUAUAUUAAGGUUGUUGCAGUUCAAAAGCUCAUAAUUGGAUUUCUAGCUGGACAUAUUAGUCUGCUCUUACGAGUGUGUACAAUGCAUAUUUGGCCAUUCUUUGGGAAAGCCAUAGUGGCAUUAAGUUGUUGGUGUGAGGAUCCCAAUCAUUUACUGUGAAUAAUUUAUAGUGUUCAAAGCAGACUUGCACUGUUGAAUAUAUUAACAUGAAAUAUAAACAUAGGACUAUUGUACUAUUUUUUGAUUUAUGCACAAUAGUAGUGAUUAACAAGGACAGCUGGAGAUAUUUGUAUUCCAUUGUCAAAGGUGAAAUUCUUGGAUAAAAGCAUUUACCAAAGAUGUUUUCA